GACGAACGCUGGCGGCGUGCUUAACACAUGCAAGUCGAACGGAAAGGCCCUGCUUUUGUGGGGUGCUCGAGUGGCGAACGGGUGAGUAACACGUGAGUAACCUGCCCUUGACUUUGGGAUAACUUCAGGAAACUGGGGCUAAUACCGGAUAGGAGCUCCUGCUGCAUGGUGGGGGUUGGAAAGUUUCGGCGGUUGGGGAUGGACUCGCGGCUUAUCAGCUUGUGGUUGGGGUAGUGUCUGACCAAGGCUUUGACGGGUAGCAGGCCUGAGAGGGUGACCGGCCACAUUGGGACUGCGGUGCGGCCCAGAAUACUACGGGAGGCAGCAGUGGGGAAUAUUGCACAAUGGGCGGAAGCAUGAUGAAGCAACGCCGCGUGCGGGAUGAAGGACUUCGAGUUGUAAACCGCUUUCGCCUGUGACGAAGAGUGAGUGACGGUAAUGGGUAAAGAAGCACCGGCUAACUACGUG
This 468-nucleotide ribosomal RNA is filed under the name uncultured bacterium. Its description in RNAcentral is "partial 16S ribosomal RNA". It matches the Rfam family "Bacterial small subunit ribosomal RNA", at positions 28 to 507 of the family's 1533-position model. The record is from RNAcentral.